UUAAGUUGUUAUAUCUCACUGAAAAAUUACUCUUUAGGUGAUUAUGUCUUAUUUUAAGUGUGAUGAGAUAUUUAGACUAGAAAUGAGAAAACAUAUUUGGUAAGAUUUCGAUUUUUUGCAUGUAUGGAUCAACUUUGCUAAAUUAUGUAGACUAGUAAGACAAUUUCUGGUUGUCUUUUACAUAAGUUAUUGUUAGUGCCUAACACAACUGUCGAUUUCCAAAUUGAGAAGCUCAGUGGGCAGGACCCAGCAUUUUGUACAUAUAUCAAAUGUUUUUUGUUUUUUUUUUUCUAAUCGUUUACAUCUUGUAUCUUUGAUACUGCUUAGAUCAGUUCAGGGUUUCUCGAGGUUGUGAAUGAAACGCUUACCUGUUACCAAUGUUUUUACAUCGUAGGUCAGGUCAUUUCUCUCUCUCUUUUUUUUUUUUCUUUGGUAAUUGUGAAGGUCUGCUUAAGCAACAUAAACAAAGUCAGGUACUGAACUAUUUUGUAAUUGUACAGCAUUAUGCCAGUUAAUUAUCAGGAUCACCGGCAUCACUCGAGCUUUAUUUUUUUCAAGCCAAAUGUCUUUUACAACCCAGUGUUUAAGGGAUACACUUUUUUUUUUUUUUUUUUUGGUUUUUAUGCCAAUGAAGCAAAGC
Sphaeramia orbicularis (orbiculate cardinalfish) is the source of this 640-nucleotide long non-coding RNA. RefSeq lists it as uncharacterized. The record is from RefSeq and is a predicted model, not a curated record. The transcript has 3 exons. Lineage: Eukaryota; Metazoa; Chordata; Actinopteri; Kurtiformes; Apogonidae.